Molecule: non-coding RNA, 31 nt
Filed under: Mus musculus (house mouse)
Lineage: Eukaryota; Metazoa; Chordata; Mammalia; Rodentia; Muridae
Source: RNAcentral
UGGGGCCUUUUCCAAACUUUUUUGCUUAGGG